CGAAUCCUGAAGUGUUCGUUAUUUGAAAGUCUGUUUUGACCCAACACUUCUAUCGUAGGGAGUUUGUAUUUUAGACUGUAUGACAUGCCUUUUUUUAAAAAAGGACUUCAGAAAAUCUAAAGAGAACACCCACCUGCCGAACGCAGGUUCAAAACGAUAUUACAAAGACGGCACAUUCGGGAUUCGU
RNAcentral lists this non-coding RNA (187 nucleotides) under Sporosarcina ureilytica. RNAcentral's name for it is "6S RNA". It matches the Rfam family "6S / SsrS RNA". Rfam says of the family: E. coli 6S RNA was the first non coding RNA to be sequenced, but its function was unknown until recently. The record is from RNAcentral. Lineage: Bacteria; Bacillati; Bacillota; Bacilli; Caryophanales; Caryophanaceae.